RNAcentral lists this ribosomal RNA (405 nucleotides) under uncultured prokaryote. RNAcentral describes it as "bacterial SSU rRNA". It matches the Rfam family "Bacterial small subunit ribosomal RNA", at positions 355 to 774 of the family's 1533-position model. The record is from RNAcentral.
UCGAGAAUCUUCCGCAAUGGGCGAAAGCCUGACGGAGCGAUGUCGCGUGAGGGAUGAAGGCCUUCGGGUUGUAAACCUCUGUCGCCCGGGACGAAAUAAAUGACGGUACCGGGAGAGGAAGCUACGGCUAACUACGUGCCAGCAGCCGCGGUAAUACGGAGGUAGCAAGCGUUAUUCGGAUUUGCUUGGCGUAAAGGGUCUGCAGGGGUCCUGCCAAGUCUGGCGUGAAAUUCCAAGGCUCAACCUUGGAACUGCGUGGGAUACUGGCGGGCUAGAGUGCAUGAGGGGAGAACAGAAUACCUGGUGUAGCGGUGGAAUGCGCAGAUAUCAGGUGGAACACCGACGGCGAAGGCGGUUCUCUGGCAUGCAACUGACCCUGAGGGACGAAAGCGUGGGGAGCAAACA